Molecule: ribosomal RNA, 491 nt
Filed under: uncultured bacterium
Lineage: Bacteria
Description: partial 16S ribosomal RNA
Rfam family: Bacterial small subunit ribosomal RNA
Source: RNAcentral
AGUGUACGCUGGCGGUAGGCCUAACACAUGCAAGUCGAACGGCAGCACAGUAAGAGCUUGCUCUUACGGGUGGCGAGUGGCGGACGGGUGAGGAAUACAUCGGAAUCUACUUUUUCGUGGGGGAUAACGUAGGGAAACUUACGCUAAUACCGCAUACGACCUACGGGUGAAAGCAGGGGAUCUUCGGACCUUGCGCGAUUGAAUGAGCCGAUGUCGGAUUAGCUAGUUGGCGGGGUAAAGGCCCACCAAGGCGACGAUCCGUAGCUGGUCUGAGAGGAUGAUCAGCCACACUGGAACUGAGACACGGUCCAGACUCCUACGGGAGGCAGCAGUGGGGAAUAUUGGACAAUGGGCGCAAGCCUGAUCCAGCCAUACCGCGUGGGUGAAGAAGGCCUUCGGGUUGUAAAGCCCUUUUGUUGGGAAAGAAAAGCAGCAGGUUAAUACCCCGCUGUUCUGACGGUACCCAAAGAAUAAGCACCGGCUAACUUCGU